RNAcentral lists this ribosomal RNA (475 nucleotides) under uncultured Entrophospora. Its description in RNAcentral is "SSU rRNA". It matches the Rfam family "Eukaryotic small subunit ribosomal RNA", at positions 569 to 1043 of the family's 1831-position model. Lineage: Eukaryota; Fungi; Glomeromycota; Glomeromycetes; Entrophosporales; Entrophosporaceae. The record is from RNAcentral.
AGCAGCCGCGGUAAUUCCAGCUCCAAUAGCGUAUAUUAAAGUUGUUGCAGUUAAAAAGCUCGUAGUUGAAUUUCGGGAUUGACGUGACGGUCGUGCCUUAAGGGGCGUGAACUGUCGCCGUUGAUUUCUCACCUUCUGGAGAAGCUCGAUGUCCUUAAUUGGAUGUCUUGUGGAACCAGGACCUUUACCUUGAAAAAUUAGAGUGUUUAAAGCAGGCAUUUUGCUCGAAUACAUUAGCAUGGAAUAAUAGAAUAGGACGGCAUGGUUCUAUUUUGUUGGUUUCUAGGAUCACCGUAAUGAUUAAUAGGGAUAGUUGGGGGCAUUAGUAUUCAAUUGUCAGAGGUGAAAUUCUUGGAUUUAUUGAAGACUAACUACUGCGAAAGCAUUUGCCAAGGAUGUUUUCAUUAAUCAAGAACAAAAGUUAGGGGAUCGAAGACGAUCAGAUACCGUCGUAGUCUUAACCAUAAACUAUGCC